GAGACUCUGUGCGCGUGCAUAUCAAUAAGCGGAGGAAAAGAAACUAACAAGGAUUCCCUUAGUAACGGCGAGUGAAGCGGGAAGAGCUCAAAUCUGAAAUCUUCAAGGUUCUACCUUGACGAAUUGUAGUUUAAAGAAGUGUUUUCUGUUAGUGGAGUGGCAAAAGUUCUCUGGAAUAGGACAUCAUAGAGGGUGAGAAUCCCGUAUUUGGUCAUUCCUUCUAGCUUUGUGAUACACUUUCAAAGAGUCGGAUUGUUUGGGAAUGCAGUCCAAAAUGGGUGGUAAAUUUCAUCUAAAGCUAAAUAUUGGCGAGAGACCGAUAGCGAACAAGUACCGUGAGGGAAAGAUGAAAAGAACUUUGAAAAGAGAGUUAAACAGUACGUGAAAUUGUCAAAAGGGAAGCGUUUGACACCAGUGUUGUUUUUCCGAAAAUCAAUUAUAAAUGUUUUGUUUCUGAGGAGUGAUGACUUCAUCGGCUUCCUUCUCUCUUCACGAAACUUUUGUAAUGCACUUUUCGGUUAACAAGUCAACAUCAAUUUCUUUUGUUGUAAAAGAGUAUUCGGAAGGUGGCUUUCAUUUCGGUAGAAAGUGUUUAUAGCCCUUAUACCUCUACAAUCGGAGAGAUUGAGGUCUGCAGCGUAGAUCCUUCGGGGUUAGAUACAUUUGUGCUAAGUUAUAGUUUUUCAUAGACAACUCGUUGACUAUGAUUAGUCAUGUAGCUUACUCGCUUAUGCUAUUUUACCUACGCUUAGGAUGUUGACAGCAGUAUAGACUGU
This 776-nucleotide ribosomal RNA is filed under the name uncultured Neocallimastigales. RNAcentral's name for it is "partial large subunit ribosomal RNA". It matches the Rfam family "Eukaryotic large subunit ribosomal RNA", at positions 23 to 640 of the family's 3401-position model. Lineage: Eukaryota; Fungi; Neocallimastigomycota; Neocallimastigomycetes; Neocallimastigales. The record is from RNAcentral.